AACGUACGCUGGCGGCACGCCUAACACAUGCAAGUCGAACGAAGUAGCAAUACUUAGUGGCAGACGGGUGAGUAACAUGUGGGUAUCUGCCCUUUGGCCUGGAAUAACACGAGGAAACUUGUGCUAAUACCGGAUAAGUCUUUACGGAGAAAGCUUUAUGCACCAUUGGAUGAGCCCGCACUUGAUUAGUUUGUUGGUGGGGUAAUGGCCUACCAAGACUGUGAUCAAUAGCUGAUUUGAGAGGAUGAUCAGCCACAUUGGGACUGAGACACGGCCCAAACUCCUACGGGAGGCAGCAGUGGGGAAUCUUGCACAAUGGAGGAAACUCUGAUGCAGCGAUGCCGCGUGAGUGAAGAAGGCCCUUGGGUUGUAAAGCUCUUUCGUCGGGGAAGAAAAUGACUGUACCCGAAUAAGAAGGUCCGGCUAACUUCGUGCCAGCAGCCGCGGUAAUACGAAGGGACCUAGCGUAGUUCGGAAUUACUGGGCUUAAAGAGUUCGUAGGUGGUUGAAAAAGUUAGUGGUGAAAUCCCAGAGCUUAACUCUGGAACUGCCAUUAAAACUUUUCAGCUAGAGUAUGAUAGAGGAAAGCAGAAUUUCUAGUGUAGAGGUGAAAUUCGUAGAUAUUAGAAAGAAUACCAAUUGCGAAGGCAGCUUUCUGGAUCAUUACUGACACUGAGGAACGAAAGCAUGGGUAGCGAAGAGGAUUAGAUACCCUCGUAGUCCAUGCCGUAAACGAUGUGUGUUAGACGUUGGAAAUUUAUUUUCAGUGUCGCAGCGAAAGCGAUAAACACACCGCCUGGGGAGUACGACCGCAAGGUUAAAACUCAAAUGAAUUGACGGGGACCCGCACAAGUAGUGGAGCAUGUGGUUUAAUUCGAAGAUACGCGCAGAACCUUACCAACACUUGACAUGUUCGUCGCGACUCUAAGAGAUUAGAGUCUUCGGUUCGGCCGGACGAAACACAGGUGCUGCAUGGCUGUCGUCAGCUCGUGUCGUGAGAUGUUGGGUUAAGUCCCGCAACGAGCGCAACCCUCACUUUUAGUUGCCAUCAUUAAGUUGGGCACUCUGAAAGAACUGCCAGUGAUAAGCUGGAGGAAGGUGGGGAUGACGUCAAGUCCUCAUGGCCCUUACGUGUUGGGCUACACACGUGCUACAAUGGUAUCUACAACAGGAAGCAAGACUGCGAGGUCAAGCAAAUCCUUAAAAGAUACCUCAGUUCGGAUUGCACUCUGCAACUCGAGUGCAUGAAGCUGGAAUUACUAGUAAUCGUGGAUCAGCGUGCCACGGUGAAUGCGUUCCCGGGUCU
RNAcentral lists this ribosomal RNA (1306 nucleotides) under uncultured bacterium. RNAcentral's name for it is "bacterial SSU rRNA". It matches the Rfam family "Bacterial small subunit ribosomal RNA", at positions 28 to 1381 of the family's 1533-position model. The record is from RNAcentral.